This 773-nucleotide ribosomal RNA is filed under the name uncultured Neocallimastigales. Its description in RNAcentral is "partial large subunit ribosomal RNA". It matches the Rfam family "Eukaryotic large subunit ribosomal RNA", at positions 22 to 649 of the family's 3401-position model. Lineage: Eukaryota; Fungi; Neocallimastigomycota; Neocallimastigomycetes; Neocallimastigales. The record is from RNAcentral.
GUACACGCUGUGACUAGCAUAUCAAUAAGCGGAGGAAAAGAAACUAACAAGGAUUCCCUCAGUAACGGCGAGUGAAGCGGGAAGGAGCUCAAAUUUGAAAUCUUCAAGGUUUUACCUUGACGAAUUGUAGUUUAAAGAAGUGUUUUCUGCUGAAGUUUUGGUAAAAGUUCUUUGGAAUAGGACAUCAUAGAGGGAGAGAAUCCCGUAUUUGACCAUUAUUUUCAGCUUUGUGAUACACUUUCAAAGAGUCGGAUUGUUUGGGAAUGCAGUCCAAAAUGGGUGGUAAAUUUCAUCUAAAGCUAAAUAUUGGCGAGAGACCGAUAGCGAACAAGUACCGUGAGGGAAAGAUGAAAAGAACUUUGAAAAGAGAGUUAAAUAGUACGUGAAAUUGUCAAAAGGGAAGCGUUUAACACCAGUGUUGUUUUCUGAAAAUCAACCUCUGUUAGCUUUAUGCAUGUUUGUUUAGACCUAAUCAGCUAUCUUGCAUGUUCUAUUGUUUGCAGUGGUGCACUUUUCAGUUUACAGGUCAACAUCAGUUUUUUUUACCGUAAAAAAGUUAAAGAAAGGUAGCUCAUGGCUCCGGUCGUGAGUGUUAUAGUCUUUUUCCUAUGCGGUAGGAGAGACUGAGGUCUGCAGUGUAGGCUAUUUGGCUAGAUACUCAGGUGCUAUGUGAUACCAUUUCAUAAACAACUUGUUGAUUAUGUUUUGUCUAUUGCAUACUCGCUUGUACUAUCAUAGCCUACGCUUAGGAUGUUGAGUAGCGACAUACGCAC